UUAAGCGACUAAGCGUACACGGUGGAUGCCCUGGCAGUCAGAGGCGAUGAAGGACGUGCUAAUCUGCGAAAAGCGCCGGCGAGGUGAUAUGAACCUUUGACCCGGCGAUGUCCGAAUGGGGAAACCCAGUGCAAUCCGUUGCACUAUCGUUAACUGAAUACAUAGGUUAACGAGGCGAACCGGGGGAACUGAAACAUCUAAGUACCCCGAGGAAAAGAAAUCAACCGAGAUUCCCCCAGUAGCGGCGAGCGAACGGGGAGCAGCCCGGAGUCUGAAUCAGCUUGUGUGUUAGUGGAACGGUCUGGAAAGUCCGACGGUACAGGGUGAUAGUCCCGUACACGAAAAUGCACAGGUUGUGAACUCGAAGAGUAGGGCGGGACACGUGGUAUCCUGUCUGAAUAUGGGGGGACCAUCCUCCAAGGCUAAAUACUCCUGACUGACCGAUAGUGAACCAGUACCGUGAGGGAAAGGCGAAAAGAACCCCGGCGAGGGGAGUGAAAAAGAACCUGAAACCGUGUACGUACAAGCAGUGGGAGCCUCUUUAUGGGGUGACUGCGUACCUUUUGUAUAAUGGGUCAGCGACUUAUAUUCUGUAGCAAGGUUAACCGUAUAGGGGAGCCGAAGGGAAACCGAGUCUUAACUGGGCGUUAAGUUGCAGGGUAUAGACCCGAAACCCGGUGAUCUAGCCAUGGGCAGGUUGAAGGUUGGGUAACACUAACUGGAGGACCGAACCGACUAAUGUUGAAAAAUUAGCGGAUGACCUGUGGCUGGGGGUGAAAGGCCAAUCAAACCGGGAGAUAGCUGGUUCUCCCCGAAAGCUAUUUAGGUAGCGCCUCGUGAACUCAUCUUCGGGGGUAGAGCACUGUUUCGGCUAGGGGGCCAUCCCGGCUUACCAACCCGAUGCAAACUACGAAUACCGAAGAAUGUUAUCACGGGAGACACACGGCGGGUGCUAACGUCCGUCGUGAAGAGGGAAACAACCCAGACCGCCAGCUAAGGUCCCAAAGUCAUGGUUAAGUGGGAAACGAUGUGGGAAGGCACAGACAGCCAGGAUGUUGGCUUAGAAGCAGCCAUCAUUUAAAGAAAGCGUAAUAGCUCACUGGUCGAGUCGGCCUGCGCGGAAGAUGUAACGGGGCUAAACCAUGCACCGAAGCUGCGGCAGCGACGCUUAUGCGUUGUUGGGUAGGGGAGCGUUCUGUAAGCCGUUGAAGGUGUCCUGUGAGGGGUGCUGGAGGUAUCAGAAGUGCGAAUGCUGACAUAAGUAACGAUAAAGCGGGUGAAAAGCCCGCUCGCCGGAAGACCAAGGGUUCCUGUCCAACGUUAAUCGGGGCAGGGUGAGUCGACCCCUAAGGCGAGGCCGAAAGGCGUAGUCGAUGGGAAACAGGUUAAUAUUCCUGUACUUGGUGUUACUGCGAAGGGGGGACGGAGAAGGCUAUGUCAGCCGGGCGACGGUUGUCCCGGUUUAAGCAUGUAGGCGGAGGUUCCAGGUAAAUCCGGUACCUUGUUAACGCUGAGGUGUGAUGACGAGGCACUACGGUGCUGAAGUGAUAAAUGCCCUGCUUCCAGGAAAAGCCUCUAAGCAUCAGGUAACACGAAAUCGUACCCCAAACCGACACAGGUGGUCAGGUAGAGAAUACCAAGGCGCUUGAGAGAACUCGGGUGAAGGAACUAGGCAAAAUGGUGCCGUAACUUCGGGAGAAGGCACGCUGAUAUGUAGGUGAAGUCCCUGCGGACGGAGCUGAAAUCAGUCGAAGAUACCAGCUGGCUGCAACUGUUUAUUAAAAACACAGCACUGUGCAAACACGAAAGUGGACGUAUACGGUGUGACGCCUGCCCGGUGCCGGAAGGUUAAUUGAUGGGGUUAGCGGCAACGCGAAGCUCUUGAUCGAAGCCCCGGUAAACGGCGGCCGUAACUAUAACGGUCCUAAGGUAGCGAAAUUCCUUGUCGGGUAAGUUCCGACCUGCACGAAUGGCGUAAUGAUGGCCAGGCUGUCUCCACCCGAGACUCAGUGAAAUUGAACUCGCUGUGAAGAUGCAGUGUACCCGCGGCAAGACGGAAAGACCCCGUGAACCUUUACUAUAGCUUGACACUGAACACUGGUCCUUGAUGUGUAGGAUAGGUGGGAGGCUUUGAAGCGUGGACGCCAGUCUGCGUGGAGCCAACCUUGAAAUACCACCCUUUAAUGGCUGGUGUUCUAACGUAGACCCGUAAUCCGGGUUGCGGACAGUGUCUGGUGGGUAGUUUGACUGGGGCGGUCUCCUCCCAAAGAGUAACGGAGGAGCACGAAGGUUGGCUAAUCCUGGUCGGACAUCAGGAGGUUAGUGCAAUGGCAUAAGCCAGCUUGACUGCGAGCGUGACGGCGCGAGCAGGUGCGAAAGCAGGUCAUAGUGAUCCGGUGGUUCUGAAUGGAAGGGCCAUCGCUCAACGGAUAAAAGGUACUCCGGGGAUAACAGGCUGAUACCGCCCAAGAGUUCAUAUCGACGGCGGUGUUUGGCACCUCGAUGUCGGCUCAUCACAUCCUGGGGCUGAAGUAGGUCCCAAGGGUAUGGCUGUUCGCCAUUUAAAGUGGUACGCGAGCUGGGUUUAGAACGUCGUGAGACAGUUCGGUCCCUAUCUGCCGUGGGCGCUGGAGAAUUGAGGGGGGCUGCUCCUAGUACGAGAGGACCGGAGUGGACGCAUCACUGGUGUUCGGGUUGUCAUGCCAAUGGCACUGCCCGGUAGCUAAAUGCGGAAGAGAUAAGUGCUGAAAGCAUCUAAGCACGAAACUUGCCCCGAGAUGAGUUCUCCCUGAGACUUUAAGUCUCCUGAAGGAACGUUGAAGACGACGACGUUGAUAGGUCGGGUGUGUAAGCGCAGCGAUGCGUUGAGCUAACCGAUACUAAUGAACCGUGAGGCUUAACCUU
Molecule: ribosomal RNA, 2904 nt
Filed under: Enterobacter sp. MGH 4
Lineage: Bacteria; Pseudomonadati; Pseudomonadota; Gammaproteobacteria; Enterobacterales; Enterobacteriaceae
Also listed under: 1 other name
Description: bacterial LSU rRNA
Rfam family: Bacterial large subunit ribosomal RNA
Source: RNAcentral